ACAGAGAGAGAGCAAAUAAAUCACAGCUGCCAACGCGACUGUAAACUUGCAUAUCUGCCCUCAGCUGACACUUGCUUUGGUUGAACACACACACACACACACAAGCAGGGCCACCCUCUAGAAUAGUCUCGGGAAUAAACAAAAGCCUGCCAGUUGAAAACACAAAGACCCCUGCUCCGCUCUCACAGCUCAAAGACGGCUUGCUCUGUCUCGCCCACCCACCCUGCCUGUUACGGUUGAGACCAUAACACUUUACUGUCGCUCGGACCGCUCGCCGAGCUUUGUUCUGUGGUGCGUUUUGGCAGAGGCCGCUCCAAGGUUGUCUAACAGGGGGGUUAAAAACCAAGCCGAUUCUGUUUAUUCAGUGACUCUCUAUCCCAGUAGGCCGCAUUUCCCAAUUGGAAAAGUGGAUGAGUCAUUUUGCAGCGAGUUUCCUUACAGGGUCAUUUAUUCUUUUCAGAAGACUGAACACAACGCAGAGCAGCAGGCACAUGGAAACAUUUACAAUCCGCCUGGAGUGUGUGGUCGGUCAUGCCACCCGAUCAAAGAGUUCUCUGGAACUAUUCAUGUAGUGGGACAGCUACCAUGCGCCCCGCUACAACAGAAAUGAGGAGAAAGAGCAGGACGAGAGAAAGCAAAGAAAAUGAGAGCGUGUUUCCAUUGUGUAAUCAUUUCCUAAUCCCUGACAUUCGAUACUCCUUUGAUUUUCUCCACCAAAAACUCCCCCCUUAUUGUCCCCUCUCCCGGCCUACUUCUCCUCCGCUUCUCCACCACCUGUGGCAUUGCAUAACUGCUCAAAAAGUGGGCUUUCAAGGGAGCGCUCUGAUUCCGGGCACUGAGAAAUGACAUCACUAUUAAGGGCCCCAACUGCACAAUCAGUCUCUGUCAGGCCGGGGCGAAAGACAAUCUCUGCCUCAGAGCCACUGCAACAGAUGUGCCCGUUCCAGUAUAGAGGAGAGGGCUCGUGGGUCAAGGCUGACAACAAUAGGCAGAGUUGUGCAAUCCAAAACCCCUGAACCAGAGACGCUCUCUGUUCUGCAGGGGAGGGUUGAGCCAGCACUCGUCUGAGGGCGGUGUGUGUUCUCAAAGCUUGCUGGGACAAGUGAGCCACUUUGGAAAGUGGAGCGGUGCCAAAUGGAAACCUGGCUGAAUCCGGGAGGAUACCUCCUGCACAUUACCACUGACGGAUGACAGAUAGCAGGAAACAGAAAACACAUAUGUCAUUUCAGCGGAAUAACAUUGGGGGGGAACGAGAGGAUUUGGGAGGGGUGGGGAGAGUUCGUGCUCUCAAAAGUCGAAGAGGAGUUCAGUGGAAAUGACAGACAUCGUCACAUAUAGAAACAAAUCGGUUCAUGUGAAAAUAACGAUUCUACAGGUUGAAUGCUUGCAGUCUGCUUUAAAUAAACGCAUCUGCACCGGGGCUCUGCAGCUUUAAAGGA
Mugil cephalus (flathead mullet) is the source of this 1439-nucleotide long non-coding RNA. RefSeq lists it as uncharacterized. NCBI's taxonomy places the organism in Eukaryota, Metazoa, Chordata, Actinopteri, Mugiliformes, Mugilidae. The record is from RefSeq and is a predicted model, not a curated record. The transcript has 2 exons.